UCCCCCUCCGCCUCGCUCUGUCACUAUGAAUCUGUCUUCCUCUUCCUCCUAGACCCAGUGCUCGGCAGGAAGGAGCGUAGCGCACUGUCCUUACGGCAGGACAUUCAUAGGACAAGAGCUUGGUACCAGAUCUACUCACAUAAUCACUAGCGAGCUCCGAGCACUCGCCAUGGAAGUAGAGAGAAAACUGAAGCAUCAGGGGACCAGAAGGAGCUGUAGGGACCAUUAUAAGG
This is a long non-coding RNA of Hyla sarda, 233 nucleotides long. RefSeq lists it as uncharacterized. The transcript is spliced from 2 exons. The record is from RefSeq and is a predicted model, not a curated record. NCBI's taxonomy places the organism in Eukaryota, Metazoa, Chordata, Amphibia, Anura, Hylidae.